This 468-nucleotide ribosomal RNA is filed under the name uncultured bacterium. Its description in RNAcentral is "partial 16S ribosomal RNA". It matches the Rfam family "Bacterial small subunit ribosomal RNA", at positions 28 to 507 of the family's 1533-position model. The record is from RNAcentral.
GACGAACGCUGCCGGCGUGCUUAACACAUGCAAGUCGAACGGAAAGGCCCUGCUGUUGUGGGGUGCUCGAGUGGCGAACGGGUGAGUAACACGUGAGUAACCUGCCCUUGACGUUGGGAUAACGUCAGGAAACUGGGGCUAAUACCGGAUAGGCGCUCCUGCUGCAUGGUGGGGGUGGGAAAGUUUCGGGGGUUGGGGAUGGACUCGCGGCUUAUCAGCUUGUUGGUGGGGUAGUGGCUUACCAAGGCUUGGACGGGUAGCCGGCCUGAGGGGGUGACCGGCCACAUUGGGACUGAGAUACGGCCCAGACUCCUACGGGAGGCAGCAGUGGGGAAUAUUGCACAAUGGGCGGAAGCCGGAUGCAGCAACGCCGCGUGCGGGAGGACGGCCUUCGGUUUGUAAACCGCUUUCGCCUGUGACGAAGCGUGAGUGACGGUAAUGGGUAAAGAAGCACCGGCUAACUACGUG